Molecule: ribosomal RNA, 501 nt
Filed under: uncultured bacterium
Lineage: Bacteria
Description: bacterial SSU rRNA
Rfam family: Bacterial small subunit ribosomal RNA
Source: RNAcentral
AUUGAACGCUGGCGGCAUGCCUUACACAUGCAAGUCGAACGGCAGCACGGGAGCAAUCCUGGUGGCGAGUGGCGAACGGGUGAGUAAUAUAUCGGAACGUGCCCAGUCGUGGGGGAUAACGUAGCGAAAGCUACGCUAAUACCGCAUACGAUCUAUGGAUGAAAGCGGGGGAUCGCAAGACCUCGCGCGAUUGGAGCGGCCGAUAUCAGAUUAGGUAGUUGGUGGGGUAAAAGCCUACCAAGCCUUCGAUCUGUAGCUGGUCUGAGAGGACGACCAGCCACACUGGAACUGAGACACGGUCCAGACUCCUACGGGAGGCAGCAGUGGGGAAUUUUGGACAAUGGGGGCAACCCUGAUCCAGCCAUGCCGCGUGAGUGAAGAAGGCCUCGGUUGUAAGACUCUUCUAGACGAAGAAAACGACAUCGGUGAAUAACCGGUCGUGGAGUGACGGUACCGGUAAGAAGAAAGACGACCGGCUAACUAACGUAGGCCACGCGAGCC